RNAcentral lists this ribosomal RNA (471 nucleotides) under uncultured bacterium. RNAcentral describes it as "bacterial SSU rRNA". It matches the Rfam family "Bacterial small subunit ribosomal RNA", at positions 39 to 524 of the family's 1533-position model. The record is from RNAcentral.
CUGGGGCGUGCUUACACAUGCAGUCGAGCGGUAAGGCCCCUUCGGGGGUACACGAGCGGCGAACGGGUGAGUAACACGUGAGCAAUCUGCCCAUCACUUCGGGAUAACUCCGGGAAACCGGAGCUAAUACCGAAUACGACCACCUCCGGCAUCGGAUGGUGGUGGAAAGUUCCGGCGGUGAUGGAUGAGCUCGCGGCCUAUCAGCUUGUUGGUGGGGUAACGGCCCACCAAGGCUUCGACGGGUAGCCGGCCUGAGAGGGUGACCGGCCACACUGGGACUGAGACACGGCCCAGACUCCUACGGGAGGCAGCAGUGGGGAAUAUUGGACAAUGGGCGAAAGCCUGAUCCAGCAACGCCGCGUGAGGGAUGACGGCCUUCGGGUUGUAAACCUCUUUCAGCAGGGACGAAGCGCAAGUGACGGUACCUGCAGAAGAAGCACCGGCCAACUACGUGCCAGCAGCCACGGUAAU